GAUCCUGGCUCAAGAUGAACGCUAGCUACAGGCUUAACACAUGCAAGUCGAGGGGCAGCAUGAACUUAGCUUGCUAAGUUUGAUGGCGACCGGCGCACGGGUGAGUGACACGUAUCCAACCUGCCGAUGACUCGGGGAUAGCCUUUCGAAAGAAAGAUUAAUACCCGAUGGCAUAGUUCUUCCGCAUGGUAGAACUAUUAAAGGAUUUCGGUCAUCGAUGGGGAUGCGUUCCAUUAGG
RNAcentral lists this ribosomal RNA (238 nucleotides) under uncultured bacterium. RNAcentral's name for it is "partial 16S ribosomal RNA". It matches the Rfam family "Bacterial small subunit ribosomal RNA", at positions 15 to 245 of the family's 1533-position model. The record is from RNAcentral.